RNAcentral lists this ribosomal RNA (460 nucleotides) under Salmonella enterica subsp. enterica serovar Typhimurium. RNAcentral describes it as "partial 23S ribosomal RNA". It matches the Rfam family "Bacterial large subunit ribosomal RNA", at positions 60 to 559 of the family's 2925-position model. Lineage: Bacteria; Pseudomonadati; Pseudomonadota; Gammaproteobacteria; Enterobacterales; Enterobacteriaceae. RNAcentral also lists the same sequence under 1 other name. The record is from RNAcentral.
GCUAAUCUGCGAUAAGCGCCGGUAAGGUGAUAUGAACCGUUAUAACCGGCGAUUUCCGAAUGGGGAAACCCAGUGUGACUCGUCACACUAUCAUUAACUGAAUCCAUAGGUUAAUGAGGCGAACCGGGGGAACUGAAACAUCUAAGUACCCCGAGGAAAAGAAAUCAACCGAGAUUCCCCCAGUAGCGGCGAGCGAACGGGGAGGAGCCCAGAGCCUGAAUCAGCAUGUGUGUUAGUGGAAGCGUCUGGAAAGGCGCGCGAUACAGGGUGACAGCCCCGUACACAAAAGCGCAUGUGCUGUGAGCUCGAUGAGUAGGGCGGGACACGUGGUAUCCUGUCUGAAUAUGGGGGGACCAUCCUCCAAGGCUAAAUACUCCUGACUGACCGAUAGUGAACCAGUACCGUGAGGGAAAGGCGAAAAGAACCCCGGCGAGGGGAGUGAAAAAGAACCUGAAACCGU